GACGAACGCUGGCGGCGUGCUUAACACAUGCAAGUCGAACGGAAAGGCCCUGCUUUUGUGGGGUGCUCGAGUGGCGAACGGGUGAGUAACACGUGAGUAACCUGCCCUUGACUUUGGGAUAACUUCAGGAAACUGGGGCUAAUACCGGAUAGGAGCUCCUGCUGCAUGGUGGGGGUUGGAAAGUUUCGGCGGUUGGGGAUGGACUCGCGGCUUAUCAGCUUGUUGGUGGGGUAGUGGUUUACCAAGGCUUUGACGGGUAGGCGGCCUGAGAGGGUGACCGGCCACAUUGGGACUGAGAGACGGCCCAGACUCCUACGGGAGGCAGCAGUGGGGAAUAUUGCACAAUGGGCGGGAGCCUGAUGCAGAAACGCCGCGUGCGGGAUGACGGCCUUCGGGUUGUAAACCGCUUUCGCCUGUGACGAAGCGUGAGUGACGGUAAUGAGUAAAGAAGCACCGGCUAACUACGUG
This 468-nucleotide ribosomal RNA is filed under the name uncultured bacterium. RNAcentral's name for it is "partial 16S ribosomal RNA". It matches the Rfam family "Bacterial small subunit ribosomal RNA", at positions 28 to 507 of the family's 1533-position model. The record is from RNAcentral.